Chenopodium quinoa (quinoa) is the source of this 1230-nucleotide long non-coding RNA. RefSeq lists it as uncharacterized. NCBI's taxonomy places the organism in Eukaryota, Viridiplantae, Streptophyta, Magnoliopsida, Caryophyllales, Amaranthaceae. The record is from RefSeq and is a predicted model, not a curated record. The transcript has 2 exons.
AAAAUGGGAUAAAUCAGACUUGGUUCAUAUUAAGUGGGAAGACUCGGGUCGUAAACGAUUUAUGUCACUAGUAGAAAAUAAGUGAUGGGAGCCCCAAAUGGCAAGCGGUUUUAAAAAUCCGCUUGUCAUUUAGCCAAUUUUUUUUAAAAGUAAAACAAUAAUAUUAAUGGAAAAAUUGUCAAAAAUAAUACAAAUUUUCACUCGUCCGUUAAAAACAAGUCAACCUUUCGUUUUUUUCUUAAUAAUACAAACUUUAACACUAAUCUAUUUUAAACAGGUAUCAUUAAAUUGUAACCGGUUGCAGUAGGUAAAGCUGAUGACGUGGCAUUGACCGUUAGAUAUUACCCCUGUUUCUUUAUAAACGUUAGCCAAAUUUGAAAUUAACCCAAAAAAAAAACCUCCCUUCAUCCCUGUUCUUCUUAAACGUUUACUACUACUCCCCCCUCCCCCUAACAAUUUCUGCUUCUUUCUUCCUCCUUAAAUUCCAAUUUUUUUUCCUUUUUUUUUUCAAAAAAUUCAUCUUACUAAAUUAAAUCUUUGUUCUGUUGAAAUGGCUGGAAGGAGGCAAUCAUCAAUGGGGUCUGGGUCUUCUUCAAGCUUUACUAGGGAGGUAAAUCAAAAAAUUCGUUGCACUUGUGGUAAAGAUGCGGUUGUUAGAUAUGUGAAAAGGGGUCCAAAUGUUGGAAUGCAGUUCUAUGGGUGUCCUUUAUGGCCUGAUGUAGGACACACGUUGUGAGAUGUUUAGGUGGGUGAAUGAGAGUAAUUAGCCAAUGGAAGAUCUUCAAUAUCAAGUUUUGGAGAAGGAAACAAUAAUCUGUGAGUUGGAGAUGGAGCAAAAAUUCAGAGAUGACAAAAUAAAUAAAAAAUUACAAAUGAAGAAGGACAGUAUGGAAGAGGAUGUUCAGGAAAUGAAAAACGAAUUAUGCGAGAUGCGUAUAGAGAUGAUGAAGUGUUCGGGAACGAGAAAAAUUUGUCCAUCGCAUUGCUAUUUUCUUGGAUUUUUUUUUCUGUGGUGUUGUUUUAUGUCAAGCAGUUGAUUUUUAUGAUCUUAAUUAAAAGUAGUUGUUGUUUAGGUUCUUGAUAUUAUUGGUACUGUAAUGUAUUCUCAUUUGCAAGAAAUGAAAUUAAGGAGCUGCAUAAUGUUUUGAUAAAUUUGUAAUGUGUCAGCCAUUACAUUUGAAUAUAUAUAUUCAGAGCACCAUGGCUACAAAAUCUCAUUAACACAACUAA